GGCGAGAUGGCCGAGCGGUCUAAGGCGCUAGAAUCAGGAUCUAGUUCUUCGGAGCGUGGGUUCGAAUCCCACUCUCGUCA
Molecule: transfer RNA, 80 nt
Filed under: Schizophyllum commune H4-8
Lineage: Eukaryota; Fungi; Basidiomycota; Agaricomycetes; Agaricales; Schizophyllaceae
Description: tRNA-Leu (CAG) (tRNA-Leu-CAG-3-1, tRNA-Leu-CAG-3-2)
Rfam family: tRNA
About the family: Transfer RNA (tRNA) molecules are approximately 80 nucleotides in length. Their secondary structure includes four short double-helical elements and three loops (D, anti-codon, and T loops).
Source: RNAcentral